RNAcentral lists this ribosomal RNA (1242 nucleotides) under metagenome. RNAcentral describes it as "bacterial LSU rRNA". It matches the Rfam family "Bacterial large subunit ribosomal RNA", at positions 1564 to 2815 of the family's 2925-position model. The record is from RNAcentral.
UGAAUACGAGACGCUACGGCGUCGAAGCAGUCUAUGUCAGACUUCCAAGAAAAGCUCGCAAUGUCAUAAACAAAUAAUGCCUGUACCAUAACCGACACAGGUGGGUAGGUAGAGUAUACUAAGGGGCGCGAGAUAACUCUCUCUAAGGAACUCGGCAAAAUGACUCCGUAACUUCGGGAGAAGGAGUGCCUUAUUUAUAAGGUUGCAAUAACAAGAUCCAAGCAACUGUUUAUCAAAAACACAGGUCUCCGCUAAGUCGUAAGACGAUGUAUGGGGGCUGACGCCUGCCCAGUGCCAGAAGGUUAAAGAAGUUGGUUAGCAUUCGCGAAGCUGAUAACUGAAGCCCUGGUGAACGGCGGCCGUAACGAUAACGGUCCUAAGGUAGCGAAAUUCCUUGUCGGGUAAGUUCCGACCCGCACGAAAGGCGUAAUGAUUUGGAUACUGUCUCGGAGAGGGGCUCGGUGAAAUAGACUUGUCUGUGAAGAUGCGGACUACCUGCACCUGGACAGAAAGACCCUAUGAAGCUUUACUGUAACUUGAAAUUGAAAUUGGACUUUAUUUGCGCAGCAUAGGUGGGAGGCUUUGAGAGUAUUCUUGCGGGAAUAUUGGAGCCAUCAGUGAGAUACCACUCUUGUAAUGUUAGAUUUCUAACUUUGUAUCAUUAUCUGGUCAAAGAACAGUUUCAGGCGGGCAGUUUGACUGGGGCGGUCGCCUCCCAAAUGGUAACGGAGGCGUACAAAGGUUUCCUCUGAACGGGUAGAAAUCGUAUCUAGAGUGUAAAGGCAUAAGGAAGCUUGACUGUGAGACCUACAAGUCGAGCAGGGACGAAAGUCGGUCUUAGUGAUCUGACGGUGCUGAGUGGAAAGGCCGUCACUCAACGGAUAAAAGUUACUCUAAGGAUAACAGGCUGAUCUCCCCCAAGAGUUCACAUCGACGGGGAGGUUCGGCACCUCGAUGUCGGCUCAUCGCAUCCUGGGGCGGUAGCACGUCCCAAGGGUUGGGCUGUUCGCCCAUGAAAGCGGUACGCGAGCUGGGUUCAGAACGUCGUGAGACAGUUCGGUCCAUAUCCGGUGUAGGCGUUAGAAUAUUGAGAGGAGCCUUCUUUAGUACGAGAGGACCGAGAAGGACAUACCUCUGGUGUACCAGUUAUCGUGCCAACGGUAAACGCUGGGUAGCUAUGUAUGGAGAGGAUAACCGCUGAAAGCAUCUAAGUGGGAAGCCCACCUCAAGAUAAGUAUUCCC